Long non-coding RNA from Carassius auratus (goldfish), 259 nucleotides. RefSeq lists it as uncharacterized. Lineage: Eukaryota; Metazoa; Chordata; Actinopteri; Cypriniformes; Cyprinidae. The record is from RefSeq and is a predicted model, not a curated record. The transcript has 2 exons.
CUCCAAAACAGAAGCUAUUUUAGUUGGUACACCACACCAGGUCCAGUCAUCACCUAUAACGCACAUCACCUUCUCUUAUCAAAACAUUCCAAUUUCAUCGACAGUCACUAACCUGGGAGUAAGAUUUGAUGCUCAACUCACAUUUGACGCCCACAUACAACAUCUGUGCUGGACUACAGCAACGCUCUUCUUUUUGGGAUUCCUAGCAAAAGUCUACAAAAAUUACAAUACAUUCAGAACAGUGCUGCCAGGAUCCUAA